This is a small nucleolar RNA of Manis pentadactyla (Chinese pangolin), 137 nucleotides long. RefSeq annotates it as small nucleolar RNA SNORA15. The record is from RefSeq and is a predicted model, not a curated record. NCBI's taxonomy places the organism in Eukaryota, Metazoa, Chordata, Mammalia, Pholidota, Manidae. The transcript has a single exon.
GCAUGGCUGAAUACUGUGUUCUUUUUAUAAGUAGUUUACACAGCCAGACACCAUGCAAAAGUUAGUCUCCCCUUUAAAUGGCUAUGAUGGUAUGCUGUUUUUUCCAUAGCAUAUCAUUUUAAAAAGUGGAUACAAAU